UUUAGGUACGGCGACAUUGUUCCGGUCACGGUGAUGGGAAAAAUUUUCGGAGGCAUUUGCUCACUUUCGGGCGUUCUCGUCAUAGCUCUUCCCGUGCCUGUCAUUGUCUCCAAU
Echinococcus granulosus is the source of this 114-nucleotide non-coding RNA. The record is from Rfam. Lineage: Eukaryota; Metazoa; Platyhelminthes; Cestoda; Cyclophyllidea; Taeniidae.